CUCUGCUGGUGGCUGCGACCUUCUGUCCCCUCUGCCAGACGGCUGCAAACCGCUUCAGAGAAACAGCCAGGCGGGAGCCAAGACUCCGGAAUCGUCCCUCAGGAUCCGCUCGAAGGAGCUCAGAACUGGAAACAUCUGGUGACAAUCGAAUCAGACCGCGAUUUUAGAAUAUGAUGAAGAGGAAAUGUUUGUUUAAGGGUCAGCCCACACCUGCGCGGCAGGUGUGAAGCUCGGGGAGCCGCGGCUUUGGAAGAACCGUCUCAUGGGCGCUCAGAUUGGGUCGUGUCUUCCAACCUGCUCUGCGGAAACCGCGAAGUCUCCACCACCUGGCGGAGCGGAGUGCAACCCGAGAGGUGGCAAACUGCUGCACCGGAAAAACUACAUUCCGAUUCCACGAGAUCCUGUUCAAUCAAUACCUAUUGCGAGCCUCCCCGAAGUAGGCAGGGCGCAGGGGACCCGGGACGACGAGCUCCAGGGCUCCCGGGCACACUUAGGAUCCGCGAGGGGACGAGAGACUUCGCUGAGUGCACUCUGCGCCCCGUUUGCGUUGGAGAAGUGCGGUAAUUCAAGCGCGAAAUGAGCACAGCGGAAAGGUUGCCCCAUCCAACUUCUCAGGGCGCUCGGGACAGUGGUAGACAUCCAAGCCUUAAAAGGAGCACAAGCCAGCGGUUUCAGAUGGGUACAACCGCGGCGAUCGGUACCCUCGGCGAAUGUGUACACUGGUGUGCUUUAAACGUGCCGAGAGGACGGGGAACACACACGUGUGCCUUAAGCGCACACUUUUGUCUGUGUGUGUUUUAUGUGCACGGGGCCAAAGCCUUGCUCAAGGGCACAGAGAUGACCCGGGACGCUGAUUCCAGUCUCCGUUCUCUCCGCCUCUCCGCGGUCUCUGUGCCCGCGGGCCCGCGACGGGUAGUCCCGGGAACACACGCGUUUCUGCGCUCGCGGUGUAAACGCGUCUGUGCGAUCCCGGCGCCCUCACUGGGCGUCGCCUGUGCAGACUUUCUGUUGUGUGGUCUGUAUCUCUAGGUAGGGGACAUCUUUUGUCUCUCGGCAAGAAGCUUUCCUCCGGGAGAGAUAAAGUAAUCGAUAGGGUCUUUUAAAUAGCUCCGCGUUUCCUGUGGGGCGAGGAGUAUCAGCGCGCACACCAAAUCUGCUCUGGUAUGUCACCUUAUCUCCCGUCCCCGCUGUUGUCCCCAAACGCCGUCUGUCAAGGGAGACGCCACCCGCAUUAGGACCCAGACUGGGGCCCUUCCGCUCGGGGUCACGCGCGGCGCCCUCGGGCGCUCAGUCCCGCUGGCUCUUUGGGGUCUUGGAGACCAGGCCAAGAGGCUGGGGGCAGGGUGAGGGUGCUGGGCCCGUCGGGGGCAUCUUGCGGGUGUUUGUGACUCAGGCGAGCGCCUUUUUUCUAACCUUAGAAAUAGUCCAGAGUUUUGGCGGCUAAGCCGGCCACCUGGCUUCUCUGUGCUGAGGAAAACCGGGCUUACUGCCUUCGGAGAGGGCCGCUUGGAUGUUAGAAAACCCUGCCUGGCCGGAGGUUACUUCCUCCUCACCGUAACACAAAGUUUGGCUAAGCUCCAGGUGGCAGGUGCUGGGUUGAAGAGGGAGCUCCUGAGCCCUGAGGGUUAGGGCGAUCUCGAGUGCAGCCGGAUGUCUUCGUCCCAGCCUACAGCAGAUCCAUUCUACCAGCCUGUAGCCAGCUGGAGUUGGAGCUGACCCAGGAGAGCCAAUGGCAGGGCCUCGGAAAGUAGUGCAACCUCUGGUGGUCUUGCAGCCUUAGCAAAGGCCCUGUGGCAGGCCUGGGCUUCCCUGUCUUUGUUGAAUCCUUGGUGGAGUUCUGCAGGCCAGGCCCUGCACCCAAGUGUUUUCAGCAUCUGACCACCCUUAGACCCAGGGUCUCCUCUCAUCUGUAGGCACUGUUACGAGCAUCUCAUUUUUCUUUUUCUCAUUUGAGUCAGGUGCGUACAAUUUUAAAAAAAUAAACAAAAUUACAAUAAUGAAAACUCUUAACCCUCUCUUCCCUCCUACCCUUAACUACACCAAACCCACCAAACCUCUAAAUAACACAAGUUAGCCUCCCCUGAUUUCCAGCUUCACAGGGCUGGGAGGCUAGAGGGAGAAAAUUACUUCUUGGCUUCUAUACAGACUUGCUCCCUUUGAAUUGCCAGGGAUCAUUCAGGAUUACUCCACUGCUGAGAGAGGACCACCCACCAUACACAGCCUGGGGAAAAGCCAGACCUUGGGAAAAUUUGACUUCUCCUUUCUUAGGGUUUAUUUAUUGAAAGUAGAAAUUUUCAUUAGGACAUAAAGUCAGGGUAAAUGCCUCUUCCUGUUGAGGAAGAGGCAUUCUGAGUUUUCUUGUUCUUUAGAUCUUCCUACUUGUGGCCUUUCCAAAGGAAUUUGACUAUUAGCAACACCCAGAGGGUGGAGGAGGAGGAGCACGGUGUAAACUGUGCUUUCGAGUGCCCUGGGCCAUACUACCCUGUGCUGUGCUGUGCAGAAUGUGAGCUGGACACUGCCAUUCUGCUCUGAUCCAAGGGCUGAAUGUGUUUCAUCCGAUGGCUUCUUCUGUUACUCUGAUCUGGUCGUUUAGUCCUGGGCAGAUGUGGGUGUGAUCUUCAUGGAGAGAGAGGACCCCAUCUCCACUCCUCUAGGGCAGAGCCCUCAAGUAGUCUGCCUGUGAGAGAAUACUUUGUCAGAAGGAGCCCAGGAGGGCCAGGGAUUUAGCUCAGUGGUUCCGCCGCCUGCCUCAAAAGUGCAAGGUCUCGAACUGAGUUCGAUCCCCAUUCGAUCCCCAGUACCAAAAAAAAGAAAAGAAAAAAAAGAAGGAGCCCAGGGUACUUGACUUCUUUCCUUCUAACAAGAUAUAUGGGGUGAGAGAUGGAGAGUGAGGAGACCAGCCAAGGGGGUUUUACGGUGGCCCCUCCAUUCCCUUCUCCCUAGAUGUGUCAGUCAUCCUAUAGGACCCUCGGCCUUUUUCUUAAGGGAAAGAGGGUACUCUCAGCUCAGGAGAAGUAGCAAGAGGUGAAGUGGGAACAGGAAAUACUGGGAACAACUCUUAGCCCAAUCCUGAAUGUGAGUGCAGCAGUGAUUCUGGGAGAUGCUACUUAGGAUAAAAUAAGUUUCCUUUAGCUGCAGACUGUCUCUGAGGUCCCCUGGAGUCUAGCAGUACACUAUUUCCCCCUCUCUGAAUACAGCUUUUCAGGCUUUCUGGUUUUCAGGAACUUUUACUUGAGCAUAACACAAAAGUACACAAAAUGAAAUUGUGAAACCCUGCGAAUUUUCACUAUCUGAACACAGCUGUGUAGCUAGGACACAGUUCAAGAAACAGAACGUUAUCAGCAUCUAGAAAGCUCAUGAGCUCCAUUUUCCUCCAGGGGAGCGUGAUUGAUUCUGAUUUCUAACAUAGAUUAGUUUUUCCUGUUUUUGAACUUUAUAUCUAAUCAGACUGUUUGACACCUUUUAAAUGUUGGUGAGAUACAUUGUAGUUGUACUUAGCUCCUUUUCAUUGCUGUGUAACAUUUUAUUGUAUUACUAUAUUACAAAUUGAACAUCUUUGACCUGAAAUCUAAAAUGCUCCAAAAUGUGAAGCAUUUUGAGCACCAACAUGAUGCCACAGUGGAAGAAUCCUAACUUGACCUCAUAUGACAAGUUGCAAACAAAUGCAAGUAGGGAGCUGGGAGUGUAGCUUAGUGGUGAAUGCUUGCCUAGCAUGUACCAGGCCCUGGGUUCAGUGAGUGGAUUGGUGAGGGGCGUUGAGAAAAAAGCACAAAUGCAAUAAAAAUAUUGUGUGAAAUUAUGUGACUAUGAAACAUAAAUGAAUUUUGUUAGGACUUGCAUCUCAUCCUCGAAAUAUAGAUGCGCAUGUUCCAAAACUGAAAAAAAAAAUCUGAAAUCUGAAGCAUUUCAGGUAAAGACUCACUUGGUGCACAUGUGCAGAGUUUGCAGUUUUUCUUUGUUUGGGUUUUGCUUUGUUGCUGAGGGUUGAAUCCAGAGCCUCCUGCACAGUGUCCAGUUUUUGACUGUUGGGGAUAGUGAGUGCCUCUAUACACAUUUCUAAUGGGUAAAUGUCUAAGAGUGGGCUUGCUGGGCUACAGGAUAUUCACAGAUUAAGCAUCUGUAGAUCCUACUCAACAGUUUUCCAGAUUGGCUGAACAAAUUCACACUCAUUUGGGCAGUAUAUGAGAAUUGCAGUUUUCUACAUCCUUGCCAACACUUGGUAAUGUGAGUUUCAAAAUUAAAGCGGUUCUGGUGGGGGUGUAGGGAUAUCUCUCUGUGGUUUUGUUUUGCCUCUUUCUAAUGACUAAUGACUCAAACACCUUUUCAAAUACUCUUUGGCUUUUUGACUGGUCUCUUUGUGAAAUGCCCAUUUCUUCGUGGUUAAUGGAGCCUGUGGUUUGCAUUUUUGUUUCAUUCUUUUAAAAUUAUUUAUUAUUAAAUUUAUCUUUAUGUGAUACACGAAACCUAAAAAUCAUACAUAUUAAUGGGGCCUAUAAUAACUGUGUAAGGUUUAAAUCAGGUUAAACAAAUCUAUCUCCCCAAAUACUUGUCAUUUCCUUAUGGUGAAAGCUUUCUAUAUCUUUUAGUCCAGCUCUUUGAAAUGUACAAUUCAUCCCCCCCCCCCCCUUUGCCAUGCUGGGGAUUGAAUCUAGGAUCUCAGGCAUGUUAGGCAAGAAAAGAAAUUCAGAGCCCAGGACCUCUUGAAUGCUAGGUACAAGCUCCAUCACUGAGCUGCACCCUCACUCCUGAAUUCUGUGUUUUAAAACCCUGCAUAAUGUAAAUGCAAAAGGACUUGGAGACCUGCCCCCUUUCAAAGUCCCAGAGGCUGCCCCACCUCUUCCAGGCAGUCUUUCUUGAUUACUGCAGUUCAGAGAGAACCAGUUUCCUUUUGGAAAAUGAGUGAAAUAUGAAUAUAAUUUUAGACAUGCUUCUGCAAUUUGAGAAUUCUUAUCUUAAAAAGUCUUAGCAAACAAACCUCUUAGCAAAAUUUAAGGUGAAGAUAGCAUAUGAUUAUUUUAAUUAUUUUGAUUACUUUCAAGUGAUUCACUUGUGUUUUUCUCCUUAAUUAAUUAAUUAAUUGUUGGUACCGGGGAUUGAACUCAGGACCUUGUAAUUGCAAGGCAGGAGCAGUGCUACUAAGCUAAAGCCCUGACCCUAUUUUUGUUUUUUUGAGACAGGGUCUCAUUAUGUAGCCCAGGCUGGCCUCAAGCUUGUGGUAAUCCUCUUGCCUCAGCCAACACACCCAGAUGUGUUUUUCUUUUUAAGAUGCAUUACCUAUUUGCAUCUUACCUAGUGACAUCUUAGUUUUUAAAUUAAUUUUUGUGGUCUCUUUUUGUAUUAGUUAAUUCUUUGCCAUUUUAUUAUCUGUUGCAAUAAAAAAAAUUUUCCCAUUUGUCUUCCUAAAACCUUUAUUUUUUAUUGUAAGGCACCUGAUGAUAAUGUCUAAAGAGGAAACUCAUACACAGAGUGGGGGGUGUUGGUUGCUAAUUAGAACUGCCUCUGUAUGUGGCAAUGGCAGAGCAAAGACUGUAAGCAUCAGGCCUGACAACCAUCCCAGCAGGGGAUCCACAGGACAGAGGCCAUGACUGCUCUGGACUAGGACAGCAUAAGAGAUCGGCUGACAUUAGAGAUUGGUCUGCCCUGAUGGCGGCCAUGUGUGCAUCUGCGCCUGCGUGCGUGUUUGCGUCUGCACGUGCAUGCGUGCAUGCGUGCGUGCGUGCGUGGGGGCACCGGUUUUGAAAUUUUCAUCCCAGGCCCAGGGAUGAUGGAGAUGGAGCAGAAGGCAUGUCAGUGGCUGCUCUCAGGGUAGGAGGUGUGCAGAAUGUGAUGGCAUUGAGUGACUUCCAGAGUCCUGAUCUCAAGAGGCCCUGCAGUAUGCACCUUUGCCCUUUUGCUUCUCUGUCCUGAGACCAUGAUGGAAGGAAGUCAGUCUAACUUGCUGGAAGAUGAGAGGCCGCAUGGAGGAAAGCCAAGACCCCCAGCCCACUGCCAGCACCAACUGCCAGAUACCAUUGUUAUUUUGUUCCAUCUAUUUGGGUGUGAGAAAAAAUUCAGUUUCACUCUGGCUGUCUUUGAUUCCUGGUGUUCUGGAAGGAUGAGGCCACUGGGGGAGAACUGAUGCUCACAAUCCCCUACUACAAUGGGUAGACAAAGAAGUGACCAAUAGUCUUGUAAAAAUGACUUUGGUUUCAAGUACUUGAUAUAAAAGACACUGUGGUUUCCUCCUUGCCCUCUUUGGAUAACUCACUCUGGGAGAAACUGGCCUCCAAGUUGUGAGGACACUCAAGCAGCCCUUUAGGGGAGGAUCCCAUGGGAAGUAACUAAAAUCUCCUGUCAAGAAUCACCAUGUACUUUCAACCAUGUGAACAACCUUGAAAGUGGAACUUCUAGCCCCAGUUUUAAACAUUCUAAUGACUACAACAGGGCUGACAUCCUGGCUGUCAGAAUGAUACACUUGAGCUACUCCUACAUUAAUGAUCAAACAAACUGUAUGAGAUAAUACAUGUUCAUUGUUUUUUUAAUCCACUGUGACUUGAGGUAACUUGUACAGUGAUAGCUAACUAAUACACCAUUUCAUACUGCUACAUUGACUACUGUUUAGGUUAUAUAAGAGCAAAAACUGGAUUUCAGGUGAGAGUUUGCUGAGUGGCAGAAUAAUGAACAGUCAUGAUCAGUUGACUAUUGUUGCUGUUUUUGAGAACCUCUGACCUCAAGUGAUCUGAUUCCAAUCUGACUAUCUGUCACAUCUCACAGAAAACUCAUAGCCACACCAGGUUAUUAGUACUGUGUUAAAAAUGUAAAUUAUCAUUUAUUGUAUACUCCCAGUGUACUGGGCCCAUUCUCGAAUAAUUUUCAAGACCACUCUAUGAAAAAGGUACUAGUUUUAGUUUCAUUGUACUCUGAUCAGGAAACUAUUUGCCAUGGCUGAUGUCCCCACCAAAAUUCAGGUUGAAAUUUAAUCCCUGGUCUGAGGUAUUAAGAGAUGGGACCUUUAAGAGGGGAUUAGGUCAUGAGGCCUCUGACUUCAUAGAGAGGAUUAAUCCACUUAUAGAUUAAUGGGCCAGUGAGUAAUCUUGAGAAUGAGUUUGUUAUAAAAGCCAAUUUGACUCUUUCUGUUGUUUGUGCUCCUCUCACCAUGUGAUGUCCUGUACCAUCAGGGGGCUCUGCCGAAGAAGGACCUCACUAAGUGUAGCCUCUUGAACAUGGACCUCCUGGCCUCUAGAACCAUGAGAUGAAUAAAACUUCAUUCUUUAUAAAUUUCCCACUCUCAAGUGUUCUGUUACAGCAGGAGACAGACCAAAAUACUUCUUGGGAAAGAUUACACAGUUAGAGGAUAUGAAGUGAGCAUGCGUGACUUUGCAGUCUGAGCUUCUCAGACAUCUGUUUUUUAGAGCUCCUCCCUGUCUUUGGCACAGGGGAGGUGAUAGUUGAGUUAUGUCUUGAAAUAGAAGUAGGUGUUCACCUGCUAGAGAAAGGAGAAGAGACCAUUAGGAAGAGGGACCAAUAUGGGAAGUGAAAACGGGGCACCAACGAAGUGAGAGUAAACUAGUAUUUGAACUCAAGUUCAUCCAGUUCUAAAAGCUGUCAAGAAAUGGAAAGCUUGUGUGGCAAAGAGUACACAAAAGAGAGCAAACACAGAUUACAAUUUUUCUUUCAACAAAUGGAAAUGCAGUCCUAUUGUCUUCUGGUUCCCAUUGUUGCUGAUGGAAAAUCAAUUGUCUAAUUCCUGUUCUUUUUUAAGAUAAUUCAGCUCCCAACUGUUUUUAAUUUUUUUCCUUUAUCUUUGAUUUUCAGGAGGCUUUUAGGUUUUAAAAGUACUGUGUCUAGGUAUGGAUUAUUUAUUUAUUUAUUUAGUUUUAUUUAUUCUGCUUGGGAUUUGUAGGACUUCUUGAAUCUUCUUUUUUUUGGUACCGGGGGGUCAAACUUGGGUCCUUCCGCUUGCGAGGCAGGUGGCAGAACCACUGAGCUAAAUCCCCGGCCCAAAUAUGAGGUUGUCUAUUAGGGUUUUCUUUUGCUUUUUCUUUUUUUGGUACUGGGGAUCGAACUUGGGACCUUGUGUUUGUGAGGCAGGCGCUGGAACCACUGAGCUAAAUCCCCGGCUUGAAUCUUCUUGAAUACCUCUCUUCAGUCUUGAAAGAUUCUUAAUGGGUAUCUCUUCAAGUAUUAUUUCUUUCUCUUCUGGAC
This is a long non-coding RNA of Heterocephalus glaber (naked mole-rat), 8184 nucleotides long. The record is from Ensembl. Lineage: Eukaryota; Metazoa; Chordata; Mammalia; Rodentia; Bathyergidae.